CAAAAAUCUGAGAUGAAGAGAGUAGUUAUUUUCAGAAGCGAUAGCGAGCUAGGGGUGGUGGAAGCCUAGUGCAGAGAAAAUAAUGAAGCGCACUUCGGAGAUGCUUCUUGAACGGUUAGUAGAGUAAGCCGGGGAUCCCUCACCUCGUUAAAAACGGGAAAGUGGUUCGUAAUGAACAACAAGGGUGGUACCACGGGCUUAAACUCGUCUCUUUU
This 215-nucleotide non-coding RNA is filed under the name Bacillus manliponensis. RNAcentral's name for it is "T-box sequence". It matches the Rfam family "T-box leader". Rfam says of the family: Uncharged tRNA acts as the effector for transcription antitermination of genes in the T-box leader family. T-boxes are found upstream of many aminoacyl-tRNA synthetase genes and some amino acid biosynthetic genes usually in Gram-positive bacteria. Lineage: Bacteria; Bacillati; Bacillota; Bacilli; Caryophanales; Bacillaceae. The record is from RNAcentral.